UACGAAGGGGGCGAGCGUUGUUCGGAAUUACUGGGCGUAAAGGGCGCGUAGGCGGCGACCCAAGUCAGAUGUGAAAUUCCCGGGCUCAACCUGGGGACUGCGUUUGAUACGUGCGGGCUUGAGUUCGGAAGAGGGUCGUGGAAUUCCCAGUGUAGAGGUGAAAUUCGUAGAUAUUGGGAAGAACACCGGUGGCGAAGGCGGCGACCUGGUCAGACACUGACGCUGAGGCGCGAAAGCGUGGGGAGCAAACAGG
This 253-nucleotide ribosomal RNA is filed under the name uncultured bacterium. RNAcentral describes it as "partial 16S ribosomal RNA". It matches the Rfam family "Bacterial small subunit ribosomal RNA", at positions 524 to 776 of the family's 1533-position model. The record is from RNAcentral.